Molecule: small RNA, 29 nt
Filed under: Bombyx mori (domestic silkworm)
Lineage: Eukaryota; Metazoa; Arthropoda; Insecta; Lepidoptera; Bombycidae
Description: ovarian small RNA-28047
Source: RNAcentral
UCCUUGAUAGCAAGAGGGAUUGGAGCCCC